UACAGAGGUCUCAAGCGUUGUCCGGAAUCAUUGGGCGUAAAGCGCGUGUAGGCGGUCCGAUAAGUCCGCUGUGAAAGUCCAGGGCUCAACCCUGGGAUGCCGGUGGAUACUGUCGGGCUCGAGUCCGGAAGAGGAGUGUGGAAUUCCUGGUGUAGCGGUGAAAUGCGCAGAUAUCAGGAGGAACACCAAUGGCGAAGGCAGCACUCUGGGACGUGACUGACGCUGAGACGCGAAAGCGUGGGGAGCAAACAGG
This 253-nucleotide ribosomal RNA is filed under the name uncultured bacterium. Its description in RNAcentral is "partial 16S ribosomal RNA". It matches the Rfam family "Bacterial small subunit ribosomal RNA", at positions 524 to 776 of the family's 1533-position model. The record is from RNAcentral.